This 827-nucleotide long non-coding RNA is filed under the name Vigna radiata. RNAcentral describes it as "long non-coding RNA (VRAD_LNC003379)". Lineage: Eukaryota; Viridiplantae; Streptophyta; Magnoliopsida; Fabales; Fabaceae. The record is from RNAcentral.
CCAAUAGCGAAUGAGGGAGGCUUUGGGGCUGAAUGGGUUUAUGCGUUGGCGGGUGGCUAGAGAAACCUGCAUUUGUGGAAGAAAAGUUACAGAGCAUGGAAAUGAAAGAAAACAGAGCAAUGCAAUGUGGUAGUUUUAUUAUUGUUAUGUUGUUGUUAUGCAAUUUAUAGAGGUAAAACUGUAUGUGUUUGUUCUUACAUGGAAAGAUGAGAGCGACAAGAAGAAGCAGCAGAAGAAGUGGAUGUUCAUUUUGAAGGUGUGAGAGCGUGUUGCGUGGGCAGUGGAGAGAAACUAGACAGUGAUAUAGAAGAAGAAAAAGAGAGGGGCCAUUGAUCGCUUGGAGCCGGGGAACAAUAAAUUUGUGGUCUCCCCAGACAUAGUUUGCUUUUCUCUGCGCGAACAUGGUAUCAAUGACUAGGUACGAUGCUUUUUCUUUCUUUCUUUCUUUUCUUUUUUUUUUAUCUUAUGCAGUGCCUCUGAAGAUAAGUAUGGGUAAGUUUAUACUUUAUUAUAUUUGGUUGUCUUUUCUGCUAUUGCUCCUUAGAUAGUUAAUAAGCGUGGCCUCGUUUGAGUUGCAGGUGAAGGUGUUAUGUUGCACUAGAUAGUUAGUGGACCACAUAUGCUUCUUCUAGCACAGUGAUGCACGAUGAGUUUAUAGUAUAGUAAUGGUCAAGUGGAUGAUGAGAAUAGGAACUGAUUUUUUUAUUUUAAACAUUUUUAUCGAAUGGAUUAGGUAAAGUUAAACUUACAGAUAGAUUAAGACAAUUAGUCCAAGUGUGGGACUCUGUUCCCAGGUUCUGUAGAUGCUUCCCUUUUGACUUUAGCUG